RNAcentral lists this ribosomal RNA (404 nucleotides) under uncultured bacterium. RNAcentral's name for it is "bacterial SSU rRNA". It matches the Rfam family "Bacterial small subunit ribosomal RNA", at positions 355 to 776 of the family's 1533-position model. The record is from RNAcentral.
UGGGGAAUAUUGCACAAUGGGGGGAACCCUGAUGCAGCAACGCCGCGUGGGUGAAGAAGUAUUUCGGUAUGUAAAGCCCUAUCAGCAGGGAAGAAGAUGACGGUACCUGACUAAGAAGCCCCGGCUAAAUACGUGCCAGCAGCCGCGGUAAUACGUAUGGGGCAAGCGUUAUCCGGAUUUACUGGGUGUAAAGGGAGCGCAGGCGGCGCGGCAAGUCAGAUGUGAAAGCCCGGGGCUCAACCCCGGGACUGCAUUUGAAACUGCCGUGCUGGAGUGUCGGAGAGGCAAGUGGAAUUCCUAGUGUAGCGGUGAAAUGCGUAGAUAUUAGGAGGAACACCAGUGGCGAAGGCGGCUUGCUGGACGAUAACUGACGCUGAGGCUCGAAAGCGUGGGGAGCAAACAGG